This is a non-coding RNA of Nothobranchius furzeri (turquoise killifish), 1877 nucleotides long. NCBI's taxonomy places the organism in Eukaryota, Metazoa, Chordata, Actinopteri, Cyprinodontiformes, Nothobranchiidae. The record is from RefSeq and is a predicted model, not a curated record.
GUGAGCACUACAAUGAAUGGUCCAGUCAGCCCAUGGUGAACAGCAUCCCAGCAGGAAACCUCCAGCUCUGUGCUGCUGUCCUUUUCACAGGCUCAUCAUUUAGCCAGAUUUCUAAGUUCCUGGGUGCCUUCAAUGUGCAGGGACUGUCCAAGCAGUCAUUCUGUCGGCAUCAGGCAAAGCUCUUAAUUCCAACAGUGAGCUGGCAGUGGCAGCUAGAGCAAGCUGAUAUCAUCCAGGAGGCUACUGAAUCUGGACCUGUGACUCUUGGUGGUGACAUGCGAGCUGAUUCACCUGGACACUCAGCCAAAUAUGGCAGCUACACCAUGAUGGAUCUCAAAAGAAACAAAGUUAUUGAUAUCCAACUUGUACAGAGCAAUGAAGUUGGGAAUAGUGUGCGAAUGGAGAAGGAGGGAUUUGUGCGAAGUCUGAGCACACUUUUGGAGAGGGGGGUCGAUGUGCAGCAAGUCGUGACUGACCGCCACACAGGAGUGCAGAAGUAUUUGAGGGAGGAAAAAAAGGAAAUCAGUCACUACUUUGACCCCUGGCACAUGGGAAAAGGAAUUGGUAAGAAAAUCGAAGAGCUGGGGAAGAGAAAGACGACCCAGGAUGUGAGACUGUGGAAGCAAAGUGUGGUGAACCACCUCUACUGGUCAGCAUCCAGUUCCUCCUCAGGACAGGAGGCAGUUGCAAAGUGGACUUCAGUUGCCAACCACAUCCAAAAUGUGCACAGCCAUGACAACGCCCUGUUCCCUAGCUGUCUGCAUGCACCUCUGGAUGGAGAACAGGCAAGACAGUGGCUCAAACCAAGCACAGCAUCAUGUGAGAAGCUCACUGCCAUUCUGUUAGCUCCACGGUUUGUGAAGGACGUAGAGAAGAUAAGCCCUCAGUACCACACAUCCACCUUGGAGGCUUUCCACAGUCUCAUCAUCAGAUUUACUCCAAAAAGUCAAGUCUUCUCCUUCAAAGGAAUGCUGUCUAGAUUACAAAUUGCUGCAAUGCACUAUAAUGAAAAUGCAGCACGCUCACAUGCAGCAACAGCAACUGGUGAGCUGAGAUAUGCUGUAGUGUACCCAAAGUACAAACAUGGAGACUACACAGUGAGAGCCCUGAAGACCAAUCCAACCUCAUUAUAUGUGCACAAGCUUAUGGACCUGCUGUUCGACUCUGUGGUGGUGGAUCCUCUCCCAUAUCAGGAGUACUCGGACAAAAUUACGGUUCCAGAACCGCUCUGUGCCCAGUUCCAAAGACCAGAUAAACGGGAUGCUGUGAGCAGGCACAGGUCCAGGUUUUAAAGUGCACGUCAGGUGAGCUACACAGGAGAUUGUAAUUAUUAGUUAGUACUCUACUCUGUGUGGUUUCUCCUUUUCUCCUCCUCAGCCAGGCUGCACACCACUGUACGACAGAGGAGUUACCUGUCGUCAUUAUGGAUCUUUAUGCUCAUCCACUCGUGACUCAUGCUGUCCACCUCCCAGAUGUCUAUUGAUCUCUACAACCUUUCUGCUCUGUGGCUCCCAUACAACUUGAAAAUCUUGGCCAGCCUCCUGAUCUUGUAACAGAAAAACCUGUGCUCCCGGGAUCCAUCUCCACGUUUGUCAUCACAGUGAAAGCUACCUCCAGUCUAAGGAACCUAUGAAACAUCACUGUUGGCCCAACCUCUCCUCACAUGGCUCCAGAAUCUCUGCUUGUGGUUUAGAGUUUUGUCAAAAAUCUUGAAAGUUAUGAUCAGAUUGUUAUCUAACAUUGUCUUAGUAGUAGCUAUAAUAAAUGUUAUCUUUAAAGCGCAAUUGUGUCUUUUUAAAUACAAUUAUAUUGAUAUUUUGAUGUGUAUAAAUACAUAUAUCACAUUUAUUAUCAUUCAUUUUUACCUAAUUGAACCU